AGUGAACGCUGGCGGUAGGCCUAACACAUGCAAGUCGAACGGCAGCACAGUAAGAGCUUGCUCUUACGGGUGGCGAGUGGCGGACGGGUGAGGAAUACAUCGGAAUCUACUUUUUCGUGGGGGAUAACGUAGGGAAACUUACGCUAAUACCGCAUACGACCUACGGGUGAAAGCAGGGGAUCUUCGGACCUUGCGCGAUUGAAUGAGCCGAUGUCGGAUUAGCUAGUUGGCGGGGUAAAGGCCCACCAAGGCGACGAUCCGUAGCUGGUCUGAGAGGAUGAUCAGCCACACUGGAACUGGGACACGGUCCAGACUCCUACGGGUGGCAGCAGUGGGGAAUAUUGGACAAUGGGCGCAAGCCUGAUCCAGCCAUACCGCGUGGGUGAAGAAGGCCUUCGGGUUGUAAAGCCCUUUUGUUGGGAAAGAAAAGCAGCAGGUUAAUACCCCGCUGUUCUGACGUUACCCAACGAAUAAGCACCGGCUAACUUCGUG
This 492-nucleotide ribosomal RNA is filed under the name uncultured bacterium. RNAcentral describes it as "partial 16S ribosomal RNA". It matches the Rfam family "Bacterial small subunit ribosomal RNA", at positions 29 to 507 of the family's 1533-position model. The record is from RNAcentral.